Molecule: ribosomal RNA, 464 nt
Filed under: uncultured bacterium
Lineage: Bacteria
Description: partial 16S ribosomal RNA
Rfam family: Bacterial small subunit ribosomal RNA
Source: RNAcentral
CUACGGGACGCAGCAGUGGGGAAUAUUGCACAAUGGGCGCAAGCCUGAUGCAGCCAUGCCGCGUGUAUGAAGAAGGCCUUCGGGUUGUAAAGUACUUUCAGCGGGGAGGAAGGGAGUAAAGUUAAUACCUUUGCUCAUUGACGUUACCCGCAGAAGAAGCACCGGCGAACUCCGUGCCAGCAGCCGCGGUAAUACGGAGGGUGCAAGCGUUAAUCGGAAUUACUGGGCGUAAAGCGCACGCAGGCGGUUUGUUAAGUCGGAGGUGAAAUCCCCGGGCUCAACCUGGGAACUGCAUCUGAUACUGGCAAGCUUGAGUCUCGUAGAGGGGGGUAGAAUUCCAGGUGUAGCGGUGAAAUGCGUAGAGAUCUGGAGGAAUACCGGUGGCGAAGGCGGCCCCCUGGACGAAGACUGACGCUCAGGUGCGAAAGCGUGGGGAGCAAACAGGAUUAGAUACCCGCGUAGUC